Molecule: ribosomal RNA, 566 nt
Filed under: uncultured fungus
Lineage: Eukaryota; Fungi
Description: eukaryotic LSU rRNA
Rfam family: 5.8S ribosomal RNA (bases 206-359)
Source: RNAcentral
CGUACAGGUCUCCGUAGGUGAACCUGCGGAGGGAUCAUUACACAAAUAUGAAGGCGGGCUGGAACCUCUCGGGGUUACAGCCUUGCUGAAUUAUUCACCCUUGUCUUUUGCGUACUUCUUGUUUCCUUGGUGGGUUCGCCCACCACUAGGACAAACAUAAACCUUUUGUAAUUGCAAUCAGCGUCAGUAACAAAUUAAUAAUUACAACUUUCAACAACGGAUCUCUUGGUUCUGGCAUCGAUGAAGAACGCAGCGAAAUGCGAUAAGUAGUGUGAAUUGCAGAAUUCAGUGAAUCAUCGAAUCUUUGAACGCACAUUGCGCCCUUUGGUAUUCCAAAGGGCAUGCCUGUUCGAGCGUCAUUUGUACCCUCAAGCUUUGCUUGGUGUUGGGCGUCUUGUCUCUAGCUUUGCUGGAGACUCGCCUUAAAGUAAUUGGCAGCCGGCCUACUGGUUUCGGAGCGCAGCACAAGUCGCACUCUCUAUCAGCAAAGGUCUAGCAUCCAUUAAGCCUUUUUUCAACUUUUGACCUCGGAUCAGGUAGGGAUACCCGCUGAACUUAAGCAUAUC